Non-coding RNA from Caretta caretta (loggerhead turtle), 1987 nucleotides. The record is from RefSeq and is a predicted model, not a curated record. Lineage: Eukaryota; Metazoa; Chordata; Testudines; Cheloniidae.
UGGGGCGGAGAUGUGACGAAGUGGGACUGUUCUUAAUGUUUCCUCUGAACAUUGUGGGGGUGCCUCAGUUUCCCCUAGGCAGUUCUUAAGUCUCUAGGGGGUGGGGUAAGGGUGUAUGAUCAUUGCAGAGCCCUAGAAGGCAGGUGUGUGCAGGGGUCUGGACACAGAGAAUGGCCGACACCCUGUUUCCUGGCAACUGAUGGCCUGGGCCCUUCCCCCCUGCAAGGUGAGAGCUAAAGGGUUGGAGAACAAAGGAAUCCGGUGACCUUCUGGCCCCGGAAAGGGACAAAGCCCAGAGGAGGGGGGGCUGGAGGGAGUUUCAGUUUGGGGCUGGCUGGGGACGAGGAGUGAAGGGCAGACAGGGUUGUCUGGCUCACUGCCCCCCAAAAUGGAUCCAGCUGAGGGGUCCUGUUCUCUGCACCUGCAAGCUCUGUGUUAGACCAUGUUCCUGUUGUCUAAUAAACCUCCUGUUUCCCCGGCUGGCGGAGAGUCAUGUCUGACUGCGGAGUUGAGGGGCAGGACCCUCUGGCCCCCCUAGGAUCCCGCUUGAGCGGACUCACUGUGGGAAGCGCCCGGAGGGGCAGAGGAGGCUGAAUGCUCCGAGGUCAGACACAGGAAGGUGGAGCCGGGUGAGCUGUGUGUCCUGCAGACAGGCUGCUCCCCGAGAGGAGACUGCCCCAGAGUCCUGCCCGGCUCCGGAGGGAGCAGUUCCAGAGCAUCGCCCAGGGCCUCCGUGACACCUGGGCCCAGCAGUGCCUAGCAGCCCCCUGCAGCUCGGGGCGGACAGAGGGACUAGAGCAGGGAGUGCUGGGAGCCAGGAUGCCUGGGUUCACUUCCUGACGGGCUGAUACGGUUUCCCCCUUCACGGGGCUGGAGCUGAGCUCGGCAUCACUACCCAGCCCCACCCCACUGGGCCCCCGUUCAGUCAAUAAACACGGCUUUGGAAGGGGGAAACACUACAAUACCCACCUGCGGAAGUGAAGAAACAGAUUGACAGAGCCAGAAGAGUUCCCAGAAGUCACCUACUACAGGACAGGCCCAACAAAGAAAAUAACAGAAUGCCACUAGCCGUCACCUUCAGCCCCCAACUAAAACCCCUCCAGCGCAUCAUCAAAGAUCUACAACCUAUCCUGAAGGACGACCCAUCACUCUCACAGAUCUUGGGAGACAGGCCAGUCCUUGCCUACAGACAGCCCCCCAACCUGAAGCAAAUACUCACCAGCAACCACAUACCACACAACAGAACCACUGACCCAGGAACCUAUCCUUGCAACAAAGCCCAUUGCCAACUGUGCCCACAUAUCUAUUCAGGGGACACCAUCACAGGGCCUAAUCACAUCAGCCACACGAUCAGAGGCUCGUUCCCCUGCGCAUCCACCAACGUGAUCUGUGCCAGCAAUGCCCCUCUGCCAUGUACAUCGGCCAAACCGGACAGUCUCUAUGCAAAAGAAUAAAUGGACACAAAUCAGAUGUCAAGAAUUAUAACAUUCAUAAACCAGUCGGAGAACACUUCAAUCUCUCUGGUCACGUGAUUACAGACAUGAAAGUUGCGAUAUUACAACAGAAAAACUUCAAAUCCAGACUCCAGCGAGAAACUGCUGAAUUGGAAUUCAUUUGCAAAUUGGAUACAAUUAACUUAGGCUUGAAUAGAGACUGGGAGUGGCUAAGCCAUUAUGCAAGGUAACCUAUUUCCCCUUGUUUUCCUAACCCCCCCCCCCCCCUUCCUCAGACGUUCUUGUUAAACCCUGGAUUUGUGCUGGAAAUGGCCCACCUUGAUUAUCAUACACAUUGUAUCCUACGCUUUACAUAAGCUAUUACCAGCAGGAGAGUGGGGUGGGGAGAGAGAAAACCUUUUGUAGUGGUAACACCCAUUGUUUCAUGUUCUCUAUGUAUAUAAAUCUCCCCACUGUAUUUUCCACAGUGAGCAUCCGAUGAAGUGAGCUGUAGCUCAGGUGAGCUCAUGCUCAAAUAAAUGUGUUAGUCUCUA